This 1055-nucleotide long non-coding RNA is filed under the name Equus caballus (horse). Its description in RNAcentral is "lncRNA (ENSECAG00000058121.1)". The record is from RNAcentral. Lineage: Eukaryota; Metazoa; Chordata; Mammalia; Perissodactyla; Equidae.
CUUGAGGAAAGGGCAAGUGGAGGGCGGUAUCCCAGCCUACACUUGUUGAGUGGUCUCUACAGUGUGUGACUAAGGCUAGCCAUGAUGACAUAGUGACUCAUAGAAGGUUUUGUUGUGGUGAACAAUGGCAGAAUGUCUGCAUGCCACUAAGAGACCUAGAAGUUCAAAGUCCAAGUUCGGAGCCCCAGUGUGAGGCUGACAGGCAUCCAGACCAGCAAGGGCAUCACACAGAGUAAAUAGGCAUCUGUUGGACUUUGGGCAGUCUUCACAGUGACACCAGGCGCCAGCCAGAAGUGAUGAAAAUCCUGAGUGGAUCAGUCAUUCCAGACCUCUUCAUCCCAACCCAUUCUCUGCACUGAAGGUCAUGAGGAUUGCUUCUCUGGCUGCCAUCACCACUCCAACAACCUCAUCUUUGUCAGAAGGACUCUUCAUUUCCAUACUCUCCCGAAAAAGCAAGGGCAGCAGCACUGGUCCUUAAUCCCGAAGAAGAUCUCCGCUAUUUUCUAGGCUAGUUGCAGCUUAAUGAGCCUUGAUAUUGGCUAAAGGAGUCAUUCCCUCAAGCUCUAUGUCACUUUUUCUCACUUCCCAGGUAGCCAGCGUGGGACUUGGAGGGGCUAUGGUCUGGCCUAGUCUCCUGGGUUGAAUUUCUGGCUCUUUACAUUUGCCUUUCAACUCUUAAAAGAAGAAAUUAAUUAUGCAAAAACAGGCUAUGCAACAUUAUCUUCCAGGCACCUUCCAGGCACUGCCUAGCUGAUUUGUCCAUUCUCCAUGGCUCUGGGACCAUUGACAAGUUAGGUGACUGCAAGAGGUGAAACAGCCAACGUAGAGAUAAUUUCCAAUGGGUCCUGCUUUGUUUUAACAUGAUUUGCUUGAGUCAUCUGGGCCUUAGCCGCCCUUCUUAUUAUCCUUUCCAUUGAGAUAGUUACUCACUAAGUGACAAGUGUUAUAGUAGGUAUUCAGUAAACAGGACGAACAAAAGAAAAGGUAAAGAAGAUAGCCAGUUGUUGUUGACUGGUAGGUAGGACCAGAAGAAAGGAUUUGCAAAUAUAUACAGG